AGUAGGGAAUAUUGGGCAAUGGUCGGAAGACUGACCCAGCCAUGCCGCGUGCAGGAAGACGGCCCUCUGGGUUGUAAACUGCUUUUAUCAGGGAAGAAAAAGGCCAUGCGUGGCAAAUUGCCGGUACCUGAUGAAUAAGCACCGGCUAACUCCGUGCCAGCAGCCGCGGUAAUACGGAGGGUGCGAGCGUUGUCCGGAUUUAUUGGGUUUAAAGGGUGCGUAGGCGGCUGCUUAAGUCAGUGGUAAAAGGCACGGGCUCAACCCGAUGUAAGCCAUUGAUACUGGGCAGCUUGAGUUCUCUGAGAGUACAUGGAAUUGAUGGUGCAGCGGUGAAAUGCAUAGAUACCAUCAGGAACACCGAUAGCGAAGGCAUUGUACUUUGGAGCGACUGACGCUGAUGCACGAAAGCGUGGGUAGCGAACAGGAUUAGAUACCCUGGUAGUCCACGCCGUAAACGAUGAUUAUUCGCUGUUAUACUGUAAUGGAGUAGCGGCUUAGCGAAAGCGUUAAGUAAUCCACCUGGGGAGUACGCCGGCAACGGUG
RNAcentral lists this ribosomal RNA (543 nucleotides) under uncultured bacterium. RNAcentral describes it as "bacterial SSU rRNA". It matches the Rfam family "Bacterial small subunit ribosomal RNA", at positions 353 to 896 of the family's 1533-position model. The record is from RNAcentral.